Molecule: ribosomal RNA, 564 nt
Filed under: uncultured bacterium
Lineage: Bacteria
Description: partial 16S ribosomal RNA
Rfam family: Bacterial small subunit ribosomal RNA
Source: RNAcentral
UAGGGAAUCUUCGGCAAUGGGGGCAACCCUGACCGAGCAACGCCGCGUGAGUGAAGAAGGUUUUCGGAUCGUAAAGCUCUGUUGUAAGUCAAGAACGGGUGUGAGAGUGGAAAGUUCACACUGUGACGGUAGCUUACCAGAAAGGGACGGCUAACUACGUGCCAGCAGCCGCGGUAAUACGUAGGUCCCGAGCGUUGUCCGGAUUUAUUGGGCGUAAAGCGAGCGCAGGCGGUUUGAUAAGUCUGAAGUUAAAGGCUGUGGCUCAACCAUAGUUCGCUUUGGAAACUGUCAAACUUGAGUGCAGAAGGGGAGAGUGGAAUUCCACGUGUAGCGGUGAAAUGCGUAGAUAUAUGGAGGAACACCGGUGGCGAAAGCGGCUCUCUGGUCUGUAACUGACGCUGAGGCUCGAAAGCGUGGGGAGCGAACAGGAUUAGAUACCCUGGUAGUCCACGCCGUAAACGAUGAGUGCUAGGUGUUGGAUCCUUUCCGGGAUUCAGUGCCGCAGCUAACGCAUUAAGCACUCCGCCUGGGGAGUACGACCGCAAGGUUGAAACGUCUAAAGUG